Molecule: long non-coding RNA, 3523 nt
Organism: Oncorhynchus keta (chum salmon)
Lineage: Eukaryota; Metazoa; Chordata; Actinopteri; Salmoniformes; Salmonidae
Exons: 2
Source: RefSeq, a predicted model, not a curated record
GCAGUGACCGUGUCAGUCCUGCUGUAGUGAUGAGAAACUCUCACAGAUAAGGGCUGAACAAGCAACUUCGUGUGGGAGGCUAAAUGGAGUGAUCCCACUCUAGUCGCUCACCACAAUAGAAGGGGAGAGGGCUGCCAUGCAGGAGUCAUGGUCCUGAGGUGUGUCAGCAAUGGACAUUGUCUUGAGGUUUUCUGUUGAGCUGUUCUAUGGAGCCAGUCAUUUGUUUCACUCGGCUUCAUGGUGCAGUAAUUCAGGCAUAGCGGUGGACGCUCCACACGAUGGUGUUAUUCAAUUGUGAAGACUAACACUGACUUAGGAACAGCACAGAGGGGUGAGUGAAUCCACCAGAGACACUAGCAGAUGGACCCCAUGAUCACACAGUGAUAUCGCAGCCACAGCAGCCCCACCCCAAGAAGGGCUAUGAAAUUUCACAGGAGGGCUGAAGAAGAAAAAAAACGGAAAACGUGGGGGGCGAGUACCAGACAGUAUGGAAAUGACACGCUGUGCACCCCCACCUCCCCACUCCCUCCCCCCUCCAGGCCGACCUCUGAACCAACAACCCCAUGGUUUAUUAGCCUCAGCUGGGCUCAGAACCACUUCAAAGGCAACAUGUGGAGCUGCUUUGGUUCCGACCGGGAUAUUGGGCCCAGAUGGGCAAAAGACGUUCUGAUGGGUAUCCCGCACAGAUUAGUUACUUUCAGUAGGCUAUUUGAGAAUAUAACACUGUGUGUGUGUGUGUGUGUGUGUGUGUGUGUGUGUGUGUGUGUGUGUGUGUGUGUGUGUGUGUGUGUGUGUGUGUGUGUGUGUGUGUGUGUGUGUGUGUGUGUGUAUGCGUGUGUGUAUGUAUGCGUGUGUGUGUGUGUGUGUGUGUGUGUGUGUGUGUGUGUGUGUGUGUGUGUGUGACAUGGUUGCAUGCAUGCUUGUGUAUGUGAUGAGAAGGAGGGGGUGGUGGUUGCUCUGUCUGUGUUUCCUUACACAUGUAGCUGUGGAACUCAUGCAAAUCAGGUGUCCAACACCUGAGUGACUCAUAUAACUCUCUCCGAUUAGAAAUGCUUAACACCACCCAACAACACACAGGCCAUACUGCAACCCUGUUCUGUGGGAGGUUCAUAUGUUUGUAGACUUUGCAUGUCUGCAUUUGUGUGUGUAUAAUUUGAAUGUGGUGAGUGUGGAUGGUGUGUGUUUAUAUGUGUGAAAUCUCCUCAGCUGAUUUUCUAAUCCAGUAGACAGGCUUAGACACUGAGACUCUCAGCCCUAUGAGUAACCACUAGUACAAUUAAACAAAACUAAAACACACACUGAGAAAUGGGAUAAACUAAGAAGCAACAUCAGGAAAAACACAUGCUUUUCAAUUGCUUAUGCCUGCUUUACUGACCUACCCCCCCUCUUUCUUUCUUUCUUUCUUUCUUUCUUUCUUUCUUUCUUUCUUUCUUUCUUUCUUUCUUUCUUUCUUUCUUUCUUUCUUUCUUUCUUUCUUUCUUUCUUUCUUUCUUUCUUUCUUUCUUUCUUUCUUUCUUUCUUUCUUUCUUUCUUUCUUUCUUUCUUUCUUUCUUUCUUUCUUUCUUUCUUUCUUUCUUUCUUUCUUUCUUUCUUUCUUUCUUUCUUUCUUUCUUUCUUGCUCUCUCUCUCUAAGCUGGUCUAAAUCCCUCUGUUUCUCCCACUCUAUUCAUGUCACCUUAACUCAACGACUCAGCUUGUUUAUUGUUGCAUGUGGCUAAAUUCAAAUUGAUUAGUUUCAGACAAGGUUAUUAUAGUUUUGUGUUUUUCUAUUUUUAUUUAAAAAAUCAGUUUUGUUUGUUCAGUUUUUUUAUUUUGUUUUCUGACUGAAUUUACUAGUUUUUAUUCAGUUUUAGUUUGAUAAAACAUUUCUAUUUCGUUUUUAUAUUAUUAAGUUUCAGUUUUAGUUUAAGUGUUAGGAACAGAAAGUAGCCUAUGCGUGGAAGGCUAGUAGCCAUGUGUGUGUUGUAGGUUGUUUUUCUUUCCUGUUAGCUAGUGAUAGCUAGUCGUCGUGGAAAUCCCAGACCUAGAGCAACAGCACCAGGUCUGGGGAGGAUGUCAGAUACUCUUGGACAUUUCGGAGGGAAACAAUUCCUGGGAGGGUCCUCUUCAGACAGAUAAGUCUCCAGACUCUCCGGCCAAUACUGAAAAAUUGAACUCUUUCCGUAGUCUGUAGGCAGACAUUUCAGAACGUUGCGAUUUGAAACCAAAGUUUGGAGGCAAAACCUUUGCCACGGUUUUAGUAGUAGAUGGUGCAAACUACCGGAAUUCACUCAUUACAAAUAACCUCUGCAUUCUCCAUCUCGCUAGCUAGCUACUACUUUGUGUCCGGAAGGGAUGCUUAUGCUAGGGCAGCAAGCGGAUAAGGGGGUGAUGUCACCGGAAAAGGCAGUGACUGUCUUCCCUGUUCUGACUCCUUUCUGCCUUGACUGACGCAGGUACUUUUACAGACGUACAGUGGGGCAAAAAAGUAUUUAGUCAGCCAGACUGGCUAGGCCACUCCAGGACCUUGAAAUGCUUCUUACGAAGCCACUCCUUCGUUGCCCAGGCGGUGUGUUUGGGAUCAUUGUCAGGCUGAAAGACCCAGCCACGUUUCAUCUUCAAUGCCCUUGCUGAUGGAAGGAGGUUUUCACUCAAAAUCUCACGAUACAUGGCCCCAUUCAUUCUUUACUUUACUUUACACGGAUCAGUCGUCCUGGUCCCUUUGCAGAAAAACAGCCCCAAAACAUGAUGUUUCCUCCCCCAUGCUUCACAGUAGGUAUGGUGUUCUUUGGAUGCAACUCAGCAUUCUUUGUCCUCCGAACAUGACAAGUUGAGUUUUUACCAAAAAGUUAUAUUUUGGUUUCAUCUGACCUUAUGACAUUCUCCCAAUCUUCUUCUGGAUCAUCCAAAUGCUCUCUAGCAAACUUCAGACGGGCCUGGACAUGUACUGGUUUCAGCAGGGGGACACACCUGGCACUGCAGGAGUUGAGUCCCUGGCGGCGUAGUGUGUUACUGGUGGUAGGCUUUGUUACUUUGGUCCCAGCUCUCUGCAGGUCAUUCACUAGGUCCCCCCGUGUGGUUCUUGAAUUUUUGCUCACCAUUCUUGUGAUCAUUUUGACCCCACGGGGUGAGAUCUUGUGUGGAGCCCCAGAUCGAGGGAGAUUAUCAGUGGUCUUGUAUGUCUUCCAUUUCCUAAUAAUUGCUCCCACAGUUGAUUUCUUCAAACCAAGCUGCUUACCCAUUGCAGAUUCUUCCCAGCCUGGUGCAGGUCUACAAUUUUCUUUCUGGUGUCCUUUGACAGCUCUUUGGUCUUGGCCAUAUUGGAGUUUGGAGUGUGACUGUUUGAGGUUGUGGACAGGUGUCUUUUAUACUGAUAACAAGUUCAAACAGGUUCCAUUAAUACAGGUAACGAGUGGAGGACAGAGGAGCCUCUUAAAGAAGAAGUUACAGGUCUGUGAGAGCCAGAAAUCUUGCUUGUUUGUAGGUGACCAAAUACUUAUUUUCCACCAUAAUUUGCAAAUAAAUUCAUUGAAAAAUCCUACAA